ACAGUUGAGGUACAGAGACAGCGUUCGCAGUCAGCUUGCUAGGGGACCUACACGGGCUCCUCAAGUUCCGCUGCUUCCUCCUCCAAGCUGCUAGUAUUGAAAACCCAGGAGUUUGGGGUCAUUCAUCAGGAGGAUUCUGCUCCAGUUUGCCCCCUUCUUGGUCCUAGGAUACUGGAGGGCCAGAGAAAGCAAGCUUGAAACAGAGAGGAAUGGGUCACUUUGGUGGAGGAAAUUGGG
RNAcentral lists this non-coding RNA (237 nucleotides) under Pan troglodytes (chimpanzee). The record is from RNAcentral. Lineage: Eukaryota; Metazoa; Chordata; Mammalia; Primates; Hominidae.